UACAGAGGUGCCAAGCGUUGUGCGGAAUCACUGGGCUUAAAGCGCGUGUAGGCGGGUCGUUAAGUGUCCGGGGGAAAUCCCACGGCUCAACCGUGGAACUGCCGGGCAUACUGGCGAUCUUGAGGCAUUCAGGGGCGAGCGGAACAAAUGGUGGAGCGGUGAAAUGCGUAGAUAUCAUGUGGAACGCCAAUGGUGAAAACAGCUCGCUGGGAAUGAUCUGACGCUGAGACGCGAAAGCCAGGGGAGCGAACGGG
RNAcentral lists this ribosomal RNA (254 nucleotides) under uncultured bacterium. RNAcentral's name for it is "partial 16S ribosomal RNA". It matches the Rfam family "Bacterial small subunit ribosomal RNA", at positions 524 to 776 of the family's 1533-position model. The record is from RNAcentral.